CCUACGGGGGGCAGCAGUGGGGAAUAUUGGACAAUGGGGGCAACCCUGAUCCAGCCAUGCCGCGUGUGUGAAGAAGGCCCUCGGGUUGUAAAGCACUUUCAGUGAGGAAGAACGCCUGGUGGUUAAUACCCAUCAGGAAAGACAUCACUCACAGAAGAAGCACCGGCUAACUCCGUGCCAGCAGCCGCGGUAAUACGGAGGGUGCGAGCGUUAAUCGGAAUUACUGGGCGUAAAGCGCGCGUAGGUGGCUUGAUAAGCCGGUUGUGAAAGCCCCGGGCUCAACCUGGGAACGGCAUCCGGAACUGUCAAGCUAGAGUGCGGGAGAGGAAGGUAGAAUUCCCGGUGUAGCGGUGAAAUGCGUAGAGAUCGGGAGGAAUACCAGUGGCGAAGGCGGCCUUCUGGACUAACACUGACACUGAGGUGCGAAAGCGUGGGUAGCAAACAGGAUUAGAUACCCUUGUAGUC
RNAcentral lists this ribosomal RNA (465 nucleotides) under Vreelandella stevensii. RNAcentral describes it as "partial 16S ribosomal RNA". It matches the Rfam family "Bacterial small subunit ribosomal RNA", at positions 338 to 795 of the family's 1533-position model. The record is from RNAcentral. Lineage: Bacteria; Pseudomonadati; Pseudomonadota; Gammaproteobacteria; Oceanospirillales; Halomonadaceae.